GGUUAAGCGACUAAGCGUACACGGUGGAUGCCCUGGCAGUCAGAGGCGAUGAAGGACGUGCUAAUCUGCGAUAAGCGUCGGUAAGGUGAUAUGAACCGUUAUAACCGGCGAUUUCCGAAUGGGGAAACCCAGUGUGAUUCGUCACACUAUCAUUAACUGAAUCCAUAGGUUAAUGAGGCGAACCGGGGGAACUGAAACAUCUAAGUACCCCGAGGAAAAGAAAUCAACCGAGAUUCCCCCAGUAGCGGCGAGCGAACGGGGAGCAGCCCAGAGCCUGAAUCAGUGUGUGUGUUAGUGGAAGCGUCUGGAAAGGCGUGCGAUACAGGGUGACAGCCCCGUACACAAAAAUGCACAUAUUGUGAGCUCGAUGAGUAGGGCGGGACACGUGGUAUCCUGUCUGAAUAUGGGGGGACCAUCCUCCAAGGCUAAAUACUCCUGACUGACCGAUAGUGAACCAGUACCGUGAGGGAAAGGCGAAAAGAACCCCGGCGAGGGGAGUGAAAAAGAACCUGAAACCGUGUACGUACAAGCAGUGGGAGCACGCUUAGGCGUGUGACUGCGUACCUUUUGUAUAAUGGGUCAGCGACUUAUAUUCUGUAGCAAGGUUAACCGAAUAGGGGAGCCGAAGGGAAACCGAGUCUUAACUGGGCGUUAAGUUGCAGGGUAUAGACCCGAAACCCGGUGAUCUAGCCAUGGGCAGGUUGAAGGUUGGGUAACACUAACUGGAGGACCGAACCGACUAAUGUUGAAAAAUUAGCGGAUGACUUGUGGCUGGGGGUGAAAGGCCAAUCAAACCGGGAGAUAGCUGGUUCUCCCCGAAAGCUAUUUAGGUAGCGCCUCGUGAAUUCAUCUCCGGGGGUAGAGCACUGUUUCGGCAAGGGGGUCAUCCCGACUUACCAACCCGAUGCAAACUGCGAAUACCGGAGAAUGUUAUCACGGGAGACACACGGCGGGUGCUAACGUCCGUCGUGAAGAGGGAAACAACCCAGACCGCCAGCUAAGGUCCCAAAGUCAUGGUUAAGUGGGAAACGAUGUGGGAAGGCCCAGACAGCCAGGAUGUUGGCUUAGAAGCAGCCAUCAUUUAAAGAAAGCGUAAUAGCUCACUGGUCGAGUCGGCCUGCGCGGAAGAUGUAACGGGGCUAAACCAUGCACCGAAGCUGCGGCAGCGACGCUUAUGCGUUGUUGGGUAGGGGAGCGUUCUGUAAGCCUGCGAAGGUGUGCUGUGAGGCAUGCUGGAGGUAUCAGAAGUGCGAAUGCUGACAUAAGUAACGAUAAAGCGGGUGAAAAGCCCGCUCGCCGGAAGACCAAGGGUUCCUGUCCAACGUUAAUCGGGGCAGGGUGAGUCGACCCCUAAGGCGAGGCCGAAAGGCGUAGUCGAUGGGAAACAGGUUAAUAUUCCUGUACUUGGUGUUACUGCGAAGGGGGGACGGAGAAGGCUAUGUUGGCCGGGCGACGGUUGUCCCGGUUUAAGCGUGUAGGCUGGUUUUCCAGGCAAAUCCGGAAAACUAAGGCUGAGGCGUGAUGACGAGGCACUACGGUGCUGAAGCAACAAAUGCCCUGCUUCCAGGAAAAGCCUCUAAGCAUCAGGUAACAUCAAAUCGUACCCCAAACCGACACAGGUGGUCAGGUAGAGAAUACCAAGGCGCUUGAGAGAACUCGGGUGAAGGAACUAGGCAAAAUGGUGCCGUAACUUCGGGAGAAGGCACGCUGAUAUGUAGGUGAAGUCCCUCGCGGAUGGAGCUGAAAUCAGUCGAAGAUACCAGCUGGCUGCAACUGUUUAUUAAAAACACAGCACUGUGCAAACACGAAAGUGGACGUAUACGGUGUGACGCCUGCCCGGUGCCGGAAGGUUAAUUGAUGGGGUUAGCGCAAGCGAAGCUCUUGAUCGAAGCCCCGGUAAACGGCGGCCGUAACUAUAACGGUCCUAAGGUAGCGAAAUUCCUUGUCGGGUAAGUUCCGACCUGCACGAAUGGCGUAAUGAUGGCCAGGCUGUCUCCACCCGAGACUCAGUGAAAUUGAACUCGCUGUGAAGAUGCAGUGUACCCGCGGCAAGACGGAAAGACCCCGUGAACCUUUACUAUAGCUUGACACUGAACAUUGAGCCUUGAUGUGUAGGAUAGGUGGGAGGCUUUGAAGUGUGGACGCCAGUCUGCAUGGAGCCGACCUUGAAAUACCACCCUUUAAUGUUUGAUGUUCUAACGUUGACCCGUGAUCCGGGUUGCGGACAGUGUCUGGUGGGUAGUUUGACUGGGGCGGUCUCCUCCUAAAGAGUAACGGAGGAGCACGAAGGUUGGCUAAUCCUGGUCGGACAUCAGGAGGUUAGUGCAAUGGCAUAAGCCAGCUUGACUGCGAGCGUGACGGCGCGAGCAGGUGCGAAAGCAGGUCAUAGUGAUCCGGUGGUUCUGAAUGGAAGGGCCAUCGCUCAACGGAUAAAAGGUACUCCGGGGAUAACAGGCUGAUACCGCCCAAGAGUUCAUAUCGACGGCGGUGUUUGGCACCUCGAUGUCGGCUCAUCACAUCCUGGGGCUGAAGUAGGUCCCAAGGGUAUGGCUGUUCGCCAUUUAAAGUGGUACGCGAGCUGGGUUUAGAACGUCGUGAGACAGUUCGGUCCCUAUCUGCCGUGGGCGCUGGAGAACUGAGGGGGGCUGCUCCUAGUACGAGAGGACCGGAGUGGACGCAUCACUGGUGUUCGGGUUGUCAUGCCAAUGGCACUGCCCGGUAGCUAAAUGCGGAAGAGAUAAGUGCUGAAAGCAUCUAAGCACGAAACUUGCCCCGAGAUGAGUUCUCCCUGACUCCUUGAGAGUCCUGAAGGAACGUUGAAGACGACGACGUUGAUAGGCCGGGUGUGUAAGCGCAGCGAUGCGUUGAGCUAACCGGUACUAAUGAACCGUGAGGCUUAACCUU
This 2904-nucleotide ribosomal RNA is filed under the name Escherichia coli. RNAcentral describes it as "23S ribosomal RNA". It matches the Rfam family "Bacterial large subunit ribosomal RNA". Lineage: Bacteria; Pseudomonadati; Pseudomonadota; Gammaproteobacteria; Enterobacterales; Enterobacteriaceae. The record is from RNAcentral.